GCGGGAAUGCUGGAAUUGGCAGACAGGCAAGAUUCAGGAUCUUGUGUGAUUCGUCACGUGGGGGUUCAAGUCCCUUUUCCCGCACCA
RNAcentral lists this transfer RNA (87 nucleotides) under Aedoeadaptatus nemausensis. RNAcentral describes it as "Peptoniphilus sp. 1804121828 tRNA-Leu". It matches the Rfam family "tRNA". From Rfam's summary of the family: Transfer RNA (tRNA) molecules are approximately 80 nucleotides in length. Their secondary structure includes four short double-helical elements and three loops (D, anti-codon, and T loops). Further hydrogen bonds mediate the characteristic L-shaped molecular structure. tRNAs have two regions of fundamental functional importance: the anti-codon, which is responsible for specific mRNA codon recognition, and the 3' end, to which the tRNAs corresponding amino acid is attached (by aminoacyl-tRNA synthetases). tRNAs cope with the degeneracy of the genetic code in two manners: having more than one tRNA (with a specific anti-codon) for a particular amino acid; and 'wobble' base-pairing, i.e. permitting non-standard base-pairing at the 3rd anti-codon position. Lineage: Bacteria; Bacillati; Bacillota; Tissierellia; Tissierellales; Peptoniphilaceae. The record is from RNAcentral.